Molecule: ribosomal RNA, 426 nt
Filed under: uncultured bacterium
Lineage: Bacteria
Description: bacterial SSU rRNA
Rfam family: Bacterial small subunit ribosomal RNA
Source: RNAcentral
AUAGUGGCGAACGGGUCGAGUAACACGUGGGUAACCUGCCCAUAAGAGGGGGAUAACAUCCGGAAACGGGUGCUAAUACCGCGAUAGUUUUCUUGAUCGCAUGAUUGAGAAAGGAAAGACGGCCUUUGUGCUGUCGCUUAUGGAUGGACCCGCGGCGUAUUAGUUAGUUGGUGAGGUAACGGCUCACCAAGACGAUGAUACGUAGCCGACCUGAGAGGGUGAUCGGCCACAUUGGGACUGAGACACGGCCCAAACUCCUACGGGAGGCAGCAGUGGGGAAUAUUGGGCAAUGGGGGGAAAAACCCCCUGACCCAGCAACGCCGCGUGAAGGAAGAAGGCUUUCGGAUUGUAAACUUCUGUCCUUGGUGAAGAGAAGAAGACGGUAGCCAAGGAGGAAGCCCCGGCUAACUACGUGCCAGCCGCCGC